This 322-nucleotide long non-coding RNA is filed under the name Monodelphis domestica (gray short-tailed opossum). Its description in RNAcentral is "lncRNA (ENSMODG00000030743.2)". The record is from RNAcentral. Lineage: Eukaryota; Metazoa; Chordata; Mammalia; Didelphimorphia; Didelphidae.
CAAACCUGUCCUGGUCCAUGCACAGAUGUUUGAGAAAUACACAGAUGAUUGUCAAAAACCUGAAGAUCAUAAAUAGUGCCAAAAGACAUGCCACAUCUAAAGGACUUCAAUGUCUCUGGAACAGUCUAUAGCUUCUUGGAGCUACAAAUGAAAGUUGGAUGACAAGUGGACACCAAAGUGCCUGAGCAGCAAUGAAAAUGGUUCUUCAACCCUUUGCAUCAAAGCUGCUAGCCCUUCCUGAACACCCCUAGAAACCUAAGGGGAGCAGUUGGCAACUGGGAAUCCAACCUGACCCUGAAAUUAAAAGAUGGGAGAAGGAGAC